RNAcentral lists this ribosomal RNA (468 nucleotides) under uncultured bacterium. Its description in RNAcentral is "partial 16S ribosomal RNA". The stretch from base 13 to 373 matches the Rfam family "Bacterial small subunit ribosomal RNA", at positions 40 to 399 of the family's 1533-position model. The record is from RNAcentral.
GACGAACGCUGGCGGCGUGCUUAACACAUGCAAGUCGAACGGAAAGGCCCUGCUUUUGUGGGGUGCUCGAGUGGCGAACGGGUGAGUAACACGUGAGUAACCUGCCCUUGACUUUGGGAUAACUUCAGGAAACUGGGGCUAAUACCGGAUAGGAGCUCCUGCUGCAUGGUGGGGGUUGGAAAGUUUCGGCGGUUGGGGAUGGACUCGCGGCUUAUCAGCUUGUUGGUGGGGUAGUGGCUUACCAAGGCUUUGACGGGUAGCCGGCCUGAGAGGGUGACCGGCGGGAUGGGGACUGAGAGAGAGGGGAGAGGACUGCGGGGGGACGCAGGGGGGGGGAGUGCACAGUGGGCGGAAGUCUGAGGCCGCAACGGCGGGUGCGGGAGGGAGGGCUUAGGGAGGGAAAAAGGUUGAGCCGGUGACGAAGAGGGAGGGAGGGGAAUGGGGAAAGAAGAAAAGGCGAAUGACGUG